Syzygium oleosum is the source of this 709-nucleotide long non-coding RNA. RefSeq lists it as uncharacterized. The transcript has 2 exons. The record is from RefSeq and is a predicted model, not a curated record. Lineage: Eukaryota; Viridiplantae; Streptophyta; Magnoliopsida; Myrtales; Myrtaceae.
UACCCCCUUUAAAACAAAACCUGAAAAGACGCUUCUCUCUUUUGCUUUCUUUGAGAUGCCGCUCCUCUCUCUUUCCCUGGUUCGGCGAUUGCGCUCCUCUCUUGUCCUCGACGCUGCAUUCCUUGCGCUCCUAUCGCCGUCGAGCUCUCUUCCCUCACGGCCACCCUCGAUCUCUCUUUCCUCAUGCCGUGUUACCUCACGCCCGCCAUCGCGCUCACCUCUCUUCCAAGAAGAUGGCAAGGUCAUCAAAGGAUGUUGAGGCCACAUAACUUGAUAUGGUGGCAUUGAAUACCCGACUCAUUUCACGAUUUCAGGGAACUAAAGAUAAUCAGGGAAGCGGGUGAAUUUCUACAAUGGACUGAUCAUUCAUCAAGUAGAUGCCAAGGUAUUCUUGACAAGACAUCAAAAUGGGGAAGAAUUGACACACAAGGAGGCAUCCCGUUGAUGCCAAGGUAUUCUCAACAAGAUUCUGUUCUUCAUUGGGGACUUGGAAGUGGCUUCCACGGAUGCAAAACGUCAUCGGGUGCUAGAAUAGCAUCUAUGUUCAUAUAUGUUUAUAACAUUAUCCUGUAUGUUGUAUGUAAGCCUUAAUAUAGAAUCCUUUUUGUCGCGAUCUCCCCAAACCGGUCUCGUCACCUAGGAAGUUUGGCUAAUGAAUUGCUAAGUCUAAACCUAGGACUUAAUUAGGGCUCUCCUAAGCUCAUACCAA